GAUGAAGAACGCAGCGAAAUGCGAUAAGUAGUGUGAAUUGCAGAAUUCAGUGAAUCAUCGAAUCUUUGAACGCACAUUGCGGCCAUAGGUAUUCCUUUGGCCAUGCCUGUUCGAGCGUCAUUUACACCCUCAAGCCUAGCUUGGUGUUGGGCGUCUGUCCCGCCGUUCUCGCGCGCGGACUCGCCUCAAAGUCAUUGGCGGCGGUCGUGCCGGCCCCCUCGCGCAGCACAUUUGCGCUUCUCGGAGGCCCGGCGGAUCCGCGCUCCAGCAAGACCUUUCACGACUUGACCUCGGAUCAGGUAGGGAUACCCGCUGAACUUAAGCAUAUAAUAAGCGGACGA
Molecule: unclassified non-coding RNA, 341 nt
Filed under: soil metagenome
Description: partial contains 5.8S ribosomal RNA, internal transcribed spacer 2, and large subunit ribosomal RNA
Rfam family: 5.8S ribosomal RNA (bases 1-120)
Source: RNAcentral